RNAcentral lists this ribosomal RNA (749 nucleotides) under uncultured bacterium. RNAcentral describes it as "bacterial SSU rRNA". It matches the Rfam family "Bacterial small subunit ribosomal RNA", at positions 45 to 786 of the family's 1533-position model. The record is from RNAcentral.
GGCUACACAUGCAGUCGACGGUAACAGGAAGCAGCUUGCUGCUUCGCUGACGAGUGGCGGACGGGUGAGUAAUGUCUGGGAAACUGCCUGAUGGAGGGGGAUAACUACUGGAAACGGUAGCUAAUACCGCAUAACGUCGCAAGACCAAAGAGGGGGACCUUCGGGCCUCUUGCCAUCGGAUGUGCCCAGAUGGGAUUAGCUAGUAGGUGGGGUAACGGCUCACCUAGGCGACGAUCCCUAGCUGGUCUGAGAGGAUGACCAGCCACACUGGAACUGAGACACGGUCCAGACUCCUACGGGAGGCAGCAGUGGGGAAUAUUGCACAAUGGGCGCAAGCCUGAUGCAGCCAUGCCGCGUGUAUGAAGAAGGCCUUCGGGUUGUAAAGUACUUUCAGCGGGGAGGAAGGCGAUAAGGUUAAUAACCUUGUCGAUUGACGUUACCCGCAGAAGAAGCACCGGCUAACUCCGUGCCAGCAGCCGCGGUAAUACGGAGGGUGCAAGCGUUAAUCGGAAUUACUGGGCGUAAAGCGCACGCAGGCGGUCUGUCAAGUCGGAUGUGAAAUCCCCGGGCUCAACCUGGGAACUGCAUUCGAAACUGGCAGGCUAGAGUCUUGUAGAGGGGGGUAGAAUUCCAGGUGUAGCGGUGAAAUGCGUAGAGAUCUGGAGGAAUACCGGUGGCGAAGGCGGCCCCCUGGACAAAAGACUGACGCUCAGGUGCGAAAGCGUGGGGAGCAAACAGGAUUAGAUACC